RNAcentral lists this ribosomal RNA (1122 nucleotides) under Rhodotorula mucilaginosa. RNAcentral describes it as "eukaryotic LSU rRNA". The stretch from base 526 to 1122 matches the Rfam family "Eukaryotic large subunit ribosomal RNA", at positions 1 to 613 of the family's 3401-position model. Lineage: Eukaryota; Fungi; Basidiomycota; Microbotryomycetes; Sporidiobolales; Sporidiobolaceae. The record is from RNAcentral.
AUAUAGGACGUCCAACUUAACUUGGAGUCCGAACUCUCACUUUCUAACCCUGUGCACUUGUUUGGGAUAGUAACUCUCGCAAGAGAGCGAACUCCUAUUCACUUAUAAACACAAAGUCUAUGAAUGUAUUAAAUUUUAUAACAAAAUAAAACUUUCAACAACGGAUCUCUUGGCUCUCGCAUCGAUGAAGAACGCAGCGAAAUGCGAUAAGUAAUGUGAAUUGCAGAAUUCAGUGAAUCAUCGAAUCUUUGAACGCACCUUGCGCUCCAUGGUAUUCCGUGGAGCAUGCCUGUUUGAGUGUCAUGAAUACUUCAACCCUCCUCUUUCUUAAUGAUUGAAGAGGUGUUUGGUUUCUGAGCGCUGCUGGCCUUUACGGUCUAGCUCGUUCGUAAUGCAUUAGCAUCCGCAAUCGAACUUCGGAUUGACUUGGCGUAAUAGACUAUUCGCUGAGGAAUUCUAGUCUUCGGAUUAGAGCCGGGUUGGGUUAAAGGAAGCUUCUAAUCAGAAUGUCUACAUUUUAAGAUUAGAUCUCAAAUCAGGUAGGACUACCCGCUGAACUUAAGCAUAUCAAUAAGCGGAGGAAAAGAAACUAACAAGGAUUCCCCUAGUAGCGGCGAGCGAAGCGGGAAGAGCUCAAAUUUAUAAUCUGGCACCUUCGGUGUCCGAGUUGUAAUCUCUAGAAAUGUUUUCCGCGUUGGACCGCACACAAGUCUGUUGGAAUACAGCGGCAUAGUGGUGAGACCCCCGUAUAUGGUGCGGACGCCCAGCGCUUUGUGAUACAUUUUCGAAGAGUCGAGUUGUUUGGGAAUGCAGCUCAAAUUGGGUGGUAAAUUCCAUCUAAAGCUAAAUAUUGGCGAGAGACCGAUAGCGAACAAGUACCGUGAGGGAAAGAUGAAAAGCACUUUGGAAAGAGAGUUAACAGUACGUGAAAUUGUUGGAAGGGAAACGCUUGAAGUCAGACUUGCUUGCCGAGCAAUCGGUUUGCAGGCCAGCAUCAGUUUUCCGGGAUGGAUAAUGGUAGAGAGAAGGUAGCAGUUUCGGCUGUGUUAUAGCUCUCUGCUGGAUACAUCUUGGGGGACUGAGGAACGCAGUGUGCCUUUGGCGGGGGUUUCGACCUCUUCA